RNAcentral lists this long non-coding RNA (3868 nucleotides) under Marmota monax (woodchuck). Lineage: Eukaryota; Metazoa; Chordata; Mammalia; Rodentia; Sciuridae. The record is from RNAcentral.
CUUCUCUUUCCUAUCUAUAUAAAUGCUGUCUGAACAUGUUGCAGAACAGAGUUCUCUUGGUUUCUUCUUCUUGGUUUUGAGGGCUGAUUGAUUUUCAAAUUGCUUCUUUCUCAAAAUCAAUUAAAUUUAAUUUUCUUUUUCUUUUGUGGUACUGGCAAUUGAACACAGAAGUACUUUACUAGUAAGUUACAUCCUGAGAAACAGGGUCUCACCAAGUUCAGGCUGGCCUGGAACUUGCAGUCUUCCUGCCUCAUCCUCUUCCCCCAGGGUAGACAGAAUUACAGUCUCUACAGUUCCAAAACAUGAUUCUAUGCUGAUAUGAAACAUUACACUGUCCUAUUUUGUCUGCAGCUUAUUUCCCAUGUUAAUAACUAGAAUUGAGCUGAAAAGAUGAAACCUGUUUGGAACACAAUCAUCUUUUCUUUUGUACUGUAAGGGACGGCCCAAGAUUUUCUCAACUAAACCUUAUAUUUGCAUUUAAGUUGUCUAAAUUUUAAUAUGCAUAUGUUUCAGGGACAUUAUAAUGCCCCAAACUUUCUUUUACCAAGCAUUUCUGCAAGAUCAAUUAUAUAAAUGAAUGAAUGAAUGAAUAAAUAAAUAAAUGAAAAUACUGUUUUCUAUAAAAACAUGCAUGCAUUAUUAUCACUAUGAUUAUCUGCAUUGAUGUCCCAGUACAUCCAUUUGUUUCAGAUGAUUCAUUUUUAUACAGUUCAAUGCAUUCGCCACCAUGGAGAUCAUUGUCAAACAGGUGCUACGGCGCAUUCUCUUAUGGCUAAAGAAAACAUUUUUUUUUGUAUUUAUAUGGUAUCCAGGUUACAUCUUUGAUAAUCAUUUUAAAACUGAGAGUAAAAAAUGGCAGAUGGAAUAUCAUUGUUUUUCUUUUUCUUCCCCAUCUCCCUUUAUUUCUUUACAUUGUCAGGAUGGCUCCAUCCAUUCAGAUGGCAUGGCUGUUGUGAAUGAAGGCAGACCUGCACUUUCAGCGAUCCUCUCUCCAGUUCAAUUAUGGUGCUUUAGCAGGGCUAAUUAGCAUUCCUCAGUGCUGGAGCUCUUUGAGUGACAGGUAACCAUGGAGAGUCACACUCCUGUAGGUAAUCAGUAAGAAUCUAGCUUUUCUUUCUAAUUACAAAUUAGAAAAGCCUUAAAGAAAAAGCAUUUACUGAUUUAUGCCAUUAGCCCAAGAUUGCCAUGUUAGAAAGGAUAACAGGAGUGUCAGAAGAAAGCUGAUGUUUUUUCAAAAGGAAAAGAGGGAAAUACCAUGAUGGUCAGAUACAGGAAAAAAAUGUUUAUUGUCUGAUAACAGAUACCCAAAAGGAAAGCAUAAAAAAGCAAAAUGUCAUCUGCUCCUGAGGAUUCAUUUAGAUUCUCCCCUUCGAAAUUUAAGAAAUAAUGUAGUAUUUACUAACGGUGUUUUCUUUUUCUGUCAUUUAGAAUGCACUAGAAUCAGAAUGUUGAAAUAGUAAAUGCAGUGAUCAAUGAGUAAUGCAUAUUUGAUAACUGUUGAUUGUGACUGAUGAGAAAUAUAACAAAAUUAAAAAUUGAGAAUAUUGGAAAAUCCACAUGAUGCAAAAAUAUUGAAUCUGAUCUUGGAAUUGAUGUCAGUUGGCAGAGUGCAUCUUUCCAACAAAGUGAAUAUUAUAAGUAGGCCAGAGAUGUGCAUUAAAUAUUGUCACCUUAGCCUGGUAGCAUAGUUUCAGGAAAAAAAUGAACAGCAAUUUUAUAACAUCUUAAGAUCAUAUCAGGAUAAUGUUUCCAUUCGAAAACAGGUAAGUCCAUAACAAGAAUGAUCAAAGUCAAUUUAUAUUUUCCCAAAACUGAAAGGAAACUUCUCAUUUUUUUUUUUUUUGGUUCUCUUCACCUUAUUAAAAAUUUAAUUUUAACAUGCCUCUCCCUUUCCUGUUUUUACCCAAAAGUAGAAUUAUUAUAAAAACAUUCCCUGGUGUUAUUUCUGGCCAGCAUAAAGCCAGGAAGCUCUUACAGUCUUGUGGGAAUGCCUAAUCCCAUGAAUUUACCAGUCUUAUUUCAACCAUGAGGGUGGGGAAGGAUACAAACCAAGUCACACAGAGUUCUUCAAUUGUUACUUCAGAAUAAUUUCUAUUAUGGGAAGAAUUCAUGAUAACAGAGAAUGAUAAAAAUCAGUUGCAUUAUUUAUGAUCUUACUUUAACUUGGUUCAUGUUCCAAAAAUUAAGAUUUGUCUUCUCAGAUAGAGGUUGAAUGAAAGAACAAAGUUUAAUCACAAGCAAAUGUCCCCAACAAUAUGCAACCAUGGUCAUUAUAAAUUGGGUCACUCAUUUAAUGUGCUAUUUAUUUUAAUGUUCUUUCUUAAUAAGCAUAAUUCUUCAAUUUUCAAGAUUUGCACAAGAAAUUUUCAUAAAAUAUAUUAUCUCAUAUUUCAGAAAUCAAGUAAAUUUAGCUUGCUAAUGGCUUUUAACUUUAAUGCAAAGAUAAAAAGAACAAUUCUGUACCAAAAUCUGAAACUAUUUUUAGUUCUUCAAAAAAAUUUUGCAUCCAGUAGAAUUCUGCAAACAGGGUAAGGACCAUCUCAUUUUAUAGUAUGAACAGUUCUAUUCUAAAGCAUUUCAUUUGGAAGUUCACUAUGUUUCAACCAUAGUGAAGGGAGGUACCAGUUGGUUCCAUCUCACCUUCUUUGAUAUUUACAACUUUUCUUCCCAAUGGUGAAACCAAAUCAGUACAAAUGCUUAAUUGAACAGAAAAUACUGCAUAUUUUAAAACAAACCCAUUAAGAAUCGAUGUUCCAUAAUACUGAAUGGAUUUUGAACAUUGACUUCCUUGGCAAUUUCCAAUUUUUUUUUUAACAAACAGAUUGACUUAUUGAACAUUAAGAACUGUUUUUAUCCAUUUCCAAUCCUGAAUAUUUACAGACAAAUCCUUUUUAACUCUUCUGCCUACAUUUUUUCUGUAGACACUGAAUGAGAAAUUUUGCAAGCAUGAGCUAUUUUAUAAUAGACUAUACUUAAUUAGUGAAUAUGAGGCAGCAGUGGUCUGGUGUUCUGAACAGUUUGUAUAGCUGAUCUCUAAUUGUUUUAUGUCUUCUUCAUAACUUUCACACUAUUAGAGAGAGAAGAAAUCAGCUCAUGACUAUGACUAUCAUCCCUUUUCAGAAAUGUUGAGAUCUCAGAGGGUGGCUGAUAUACCAACAUAGCACAUUUUGUUUUGUUUCCCGGCUACAUGUAGUCUUUCUGAUUUUACACAGUAAUUCCCUAGAAUCACAAAAGUUCAGAAACAUAAAGCUUCCUGUUGAUGUAGUUUAAUCUUCUCAUUUUACAGAUGAAGAUACUGGAGAGAGAGGUUCCUGGCAUCCAGCUAACUAGUGUCAGUGCUAGAACUGGACCUGAAACUCAAAGUUCAGAAUUCCUUUAUCAACAAACUUCCUCUCCUGGGGUAAUUUCAUGCCAUGGGGCCUUCUCAUUAGAUUCCAUGUAGAUUUGUCAGGAGCUGACUCAGAAUUGACUCACAGAGUCAACAAUUAACACAAAAGUCCUGUCUUGCAACAACCUGCCAUAAAACACCCUUGUGUGAGUUCCAAGACCUUGCUUACUGCCAUGUCACUGCCUUGUGAAGAGGGUGAUUGGCCAACCUGAGCUGAGGUGGUAGAUUCUUUACCUUUGUGACUGUGACAGUCUGAUAUUGCCUUUGUAAGUACUCUACAUUUGCCUUUAUUUCAUCCUAAAACAUUAAUCUUUUGAAAGGGCUAAAAGAUAUUAGUCUUUCUGAUCUCAGAUGCUACCAUUUUAUAUAUGUUAGCAAAACUAAAGAGAAAAACAAACAAAAUAGUCAAAUCAAAAAAUUUUAAAAUAUCAGGCAUCUGCUAAAAAAAGUAGACUUUAUUACAAAACCAGUAAAAAAAAA